RNAcentral lists this ribosomal RNA (1307 nucleotides) under Salmonella enterica. RNAcentral's name for it is "partial 23S ribosomal RNA". It matches the Rfam family "Bacterial large subunit ribosomal RNA", at positions 1 to 1345 of the family's 2925-position model. The record is from RNAcentral. Lineage: Bacteria; Pseudomonadati; Pseudomonadota; Gammaproteobacteria; Enterobacterales; Enterobacteriaceae.
GGUUAAGCGACUAAGCGUACACGGUGGAUGCCCUGGCAGUCAGAGGCGAUGAAGGACGUGCUAAUCUGCGAUAAGCGCCGGUAAGGUGAUAUGAACCGUUAUAACCGGCGAUUUCCGAAUGGGGAAACCCAGUGUGAUUCGUCACACUAUCAUUAACUGAAUCCAUAGGUUAAUGAGGCGAACCGGGGGAACUGAAACAUCUAAGUACCCCGAGGAAAAGAAAUCAACCGAGAUUCCCCCAGUAGCGGCGAGCGAACGGGGAGGAGCCCAGAGCCUGAAUCAGCAUGUGUGUUAGUGGAAGCGUCUGGAAAGGCGCGCGAUACAGGGUGACAGCCCCGUACACAAAAGCGCAUGUGCUGUGAGCUCGAUGAGUAGGGCGGGACACGUGGUAUCCUGUCUGAAUAUGGGGGGACCAUCCUCCAAGGCUAAAUACUCCUGACUGACCGAUAGUGAACCAGUACCGUGAGGGAAAGGCGAAAAGAACCCCGGCGAGGGGAGUGAAAAAGAACCUGAAACCGUGUACGUACAAGCAGUGGGAGCACAGGUUUACCUGUGUGACUGCGUACCUUUUGUAUAAUGGGUCAGCGACUUAUAUUCUGUAGCAAGGUUAACCGUAUAGGGGAGCCGGAGGGAAACCGAGUCUUAACCGGGCGUUAAGUUGCAGGGUAUAGACCCGAAACCCGGUGAUCUAGCCAUGGGCAGGUUGAAGGUUGGGUAACACUAACUGGAGGACCGAACCGACUAAUGUUGAAAAAUUAGCGGAUGACCUGUGGCUGGGGGUGAAAGGCCAAUCAAACCGGGAGAUAGCUGGUUCUCCCCGAAAGCUAUUUAGGUAGCGCCUCGUGAAUUCAUCUCCGGGGGUAGAGCACUGUUUCGGCUAGGGGGCCAUCCCGGCUUACCAACCCGAUGCAAACUGCGAAUACCGGAGAAUGUUAUCACGGGAGACACACGGCGGGUGCUAACGUCCGUCGUGAAGAGGGAAACAACCCAGACCGCCAGCUAAGGUCCCAAAGUCAUGGUUAAGUGGGAAACGAUGUGGGAAGGCCCAGACAGCCAGGAUGUUGGCUUAGAAGCAGCCAUCAUUUAAAGAAAGCGUAAUAGCUCACUGGUCGAGUCGGCCUGCGCGGAAGAUGUAACGGGGCUAAACCAUGCACCGAAGCUGCGGCAGCGACACUCAGGUGUUGUUGGGUAGGGGAGCGUUCUGUAAGCCUGUGAAGGUGGCCUGUGAGGGUUGCUGGAGGUAUCAGAAGUGCGAAUGCUGACAUAAGUAACGAUAAAGCGGGUGAAAAGCCCGCUCGCCGGAAGAC